Molecule: ribosomal RNA, 877 nt
Filed under: Eimeria sp.
Lineage: Eukaryota; Apicomplexa; Conoidasida; Eucoccidiorida; Eimeriidae
Description: SSU rRNA
Rfam family: Eukaryotic small subunit ribosomal RNA
Source: RNAcentral
AACCAUGGUAAUUCUAUGGCUAAUACAUGCGCAAUCGCCUCCUUCUCUGGAGGGGCUGUGUUUAUUAGAUACAAAACCAACCCACUUUGUGGAGUCCUGGUGAUUCAUAGUAACCGAACGGAUCGCAGUUGGCUUCGGCCCGCGAUGGAUCUUUCAAGUUUCUGACCUAUCAGCUUUCGACGGUAGGGUAUUGGCCUACCGUGGCAGUGACGGGUAACGGGGAAUUAGGGUUCGAUUCCGGAGAGGGAGCCUGAGAAACGGCUACCACAUCUAAGGAAGGCAGCAGGCGCGCAAAUUACCCAAUGAAAACAGUUUCGAGGUAGUGACGAGAAAUAACAAUACAGGGCAUUUUAUGCUCUGUAAUUGGAAUGAUGGGAAUGUAAAACCCUUUCAGAGUAACAAUUGGAGGGCAAGUCUGGUGCCAGCAGCCGCGGUAAUUCCAGCUCCAAUAGUGUAUAUUAGAGUUGUUGCAGUUAAAAAGCUCGUAGUUGGAUUUCUGUCGUGGUCAUCCGGUACCGCCCGUAUGGGUGUGCACCUGGUUUGCCCUCGGCUUUCUUCCGGUAGCCUUCGCCGCUUAACUGCGUGCGUUGGUGUUCCGGAACUUUUACUUUGAGAAAAAUAGAGUGUUUCAAGCAGGCUUGUCGCCCUGAAUACUUCAGCAUGGAAUAAUAAGAUAGGACCCUGGUUCUAUUUUGUUGGUUUCUAGGACCGAGGUAAUGAUUAAUAGGGACAGUUGGGGGCAUUCGUAUUUAACUGUCAGAGGUGAAAUUCUUAGAUUUGUUAAAGACGAACUACUGCGAAAGCAUUUGCCAAGGAUGUUUUCAUUAAUCAAGAACGACAGUAGGGGGUUUGAAGACGAUUAGAUACCGUCGUAAUC